UGAGGGAUUUUGCGCAAUGGAGGAAACUCUGACGCAGCAACGCCGCGUGUGUGAUGAAGGUUUUCGGAUUGUAAAGCACUGUCAGUGGGGAAGAGGAAGGACGGUACCUGCUGAGGAAGCCUCGGCUAACUACGUGCCAGCAGCCGCGGUAAGACGUAGGGGGCGAGCGUUGUCCGGAAUUAUUGGGCGUAAAGAGCUCGUAGGCGGAUGUAAAAGUCGGUGAGUAAAUACCCUGGCUCAACUAGGGUGUCAUUGUCGAUACUGUACAUCUUGAGGACAGGAGAGGAGAGUGGAAUUCCCAGUGUAGCGGUGAAAUGCGUAGAUAUUGGGAGGAACACCAGUGGCGAAGGCGACUCUCUGGCCUGGUUCUGACGCUGAGGAGCGAAAGCGUGGGGAGCGAACGGG
RNAcentral lists this ribosomal RNA (405 nucleotides) under uncultured bacterium. RNAcentral's name for it is "bacterial SSU rRNA". It matches the Rfam family "Bacterial small subunit ribosomal RNA", at positions 355 to 776 of the family's 1533-position model. The record is from RNAcentral.